AAAACUAUAGCCAUUGCUACCAAUAAUACUAGUAAUACUUAACCGCACCAACGAUAAUGCUCCUGCACUAUAACCAGUUUCUCAAGAUUUAUUGCUUGCUCAAGCAAACACUUCAACAGUUGAGAUAACUCUGACGCGUCAGCCAGGUAGUGGUUAUCAGUACAGGGACUCCAAAACAACCCUUGCACUCUUCACAUUCUGUAAAGAUUCUUUGAGUACGAUUUCGUUAUGCUGUCUUCCGGCAAAGCAUAACGAAAUUCGUGUAUCUAUGUGCUGACGCAUUUCUAAAGAUACAGAAGAACCAGAAAUUGGGUUAAGUGGU
This 322-nucleotide long non-coding RNA is filed under the name Nicotiana benthamiana. Its description in RNAcentral is "long non-coding RNA (NBEN_LNC038840)". The record is from RNAcentral. Lineage: Eukaryota; Viridiplantae; Streptophyta; Magnoliopsida; Solanales; Solanaceae.